ACUAUAGGCAAAUUACGUCUUUCUAAUCCUAGAUCUCUGGAUCAACUCUAAAGACUAUAGGUAUGUAGGUAUAGACUAUAUACCUACAUAGACUAUACACACACACACACACACACACAGACUAUAUACAUAUAUAUAUGUAUACAGUCUAUGUAUAUAGACUAUGACUCAAUGACUAUAGGUAAAUUAACCCUAGAUCUUGGGAGCAACUCUAAAGACUAUAAGUAUAUAGUCUAUUUAGACUAUAUAGGCUCUAUACCUAUAGUCUUUAUAGUCUGUAUAGUUAUAUAGACUAUAACUCAAUGACUGUAGGUAAAUUAACCCUAUCUAAUCCUAGAUCUUGGGAGCAACUCUAAAUGUUAUGUCUGUUCAUUGCCUUAGCUGAAGAAGUUAGGAAGGAUCCUUAAUCAGCUAGUAUUCUGCAUGAAUAAAAAGAUCAUUUCUGUUUUAUUAACUAUGACUAUUAAAUAAUUAGGUAAUUAAUGAGGAGAAAACCUGGGUCAUAUGCCCAUGACUGAUUUUGUUUGUUUGGAUAGCUCUGUCAAAACAAUCCCAUUGGGGAGGGAAUCCACUAAUGUUUAAGCCUUCUGGUUCCUUCUUGAUCCACACCCCUGCAUCUUAAUAUUCUUAAAUCUCUUCCAAAGGAAAAAUAGGAAGCUACAUCAUCCAAGAACUUCCCAGCCUCACCCAGUCCUAUAUCACUGCAUAUAGACUAUAACUGUAUCCCAAUCCAUUUACACACAUACAAAAAGUGUGUUUGGAGAGCCACUUUGAGGGUUCUGGAGCUAGAGCACAGAGAAAAGCACAGUAAAGGUUCCCAUAAGGAGGGAUGUCCCUCUAGAGUUUCCAGUCUCACGGAGGAAGACAGGCAGUAAGCAAAUUUAAAGUGUCCUGACAUCAGCAGUGAGGGCUGAGAAGAUAAAGCAAGGCUAGGAAGGUCCCAGAGAACGGAACCUUGUCCUCAGUGGGGUGCUUCGAGAAGGACCUCUGUCAGGGCUUAGGAGCAUCUGUGGAUACCAGAGGAAACGAAGGCUUGCAUUAAGAGCCUCUAGCUAGAUGCUGGCAAUCCUGAACUCUGGGGUUACACAUCACACUGGGCCCCCCCACCCCCCAUCUUCCUUCAUCUCUAUAGCUGCUCCAAGUGUAUCAAAGCUUAGGAGACUAGAUGCUCUUGAUUUCUCUUCCAUCCAGAGUUCUCUACUGUCUUAAAAGUGAAAACGCUCCCACCUAAACCCUUUCAAAUGUCACGGACAUCUUUGAAGUAUAAAAUGGCUGGGUUCUUUCAAAGCUGCCUUUGACUUAAUGGGUCUCAUGGAUCUGGUCCUCUUCCCAACCUCUGGUCUCGUUGACAUUUGCCUCCUGCCAAUCUUCUUUUCUUUACUUUCUUUUUUUCUUUUUUUCUUCCUCUUCUUUUGUCCUUGCUUUUGAACUUGGUCUCAGCGAUAUGGAUCAAGAGACUUUGUCAGGAAAAGAACAAAACUGUUUUUGCAAUAGAUUGCCCAGUGGACUUUGGAUAUUUAUUUUUUUAUUUUUAUUCAGUUUACGUUCUGAAAAGAAAUCACUCUAGACGAUGCCUGGUUCAAAGAUUCGUUCUGUAGAAUUUAAACAGGUAUUUAGGCUGUGAGGUUGAAUUUUCCAUGAUGAGUCAGUGGAAAGGGGACAAACAGGAAACAGAGCUGUUAGCCUGGGAGCUUUUGGAAACAGCAUUCCUCAUUAUACACACAUAGACAGAUAUGCCGGUUUGUUUUAGCCAUCACUUUGAUACAGUCUAGAAACACAUGGUAAGAAAGUUGUAAUGAAUUAUCUAGAUCACAUUGGCCUGUAGGAAUGUCUUUGGGGCAUUAUCUUGACUGUUAAUUAAUGUAAGCAGACCCAGACCAUUCCCUAGGCAAGACUCACAAGCAGUGUAAGAGAGGAAACACUAGUCCAAAGCAGGCAGUCAAGCAAGUAGGCUGCAUGAAUGAAUGUAUUGCCCUCUGCUCUUGACUGUGGUUAUACUAUAGCUGCUUGAGUUCCUAGCUUGACUCUCUCCCCACCCCCACCCCCACCCCCAUCCUCACGUAGACUGGGACCUGGGGUUUCCACCUAAAUAAAUGCUUUCUCCCCUAGGUGACAUUUUGUCAGGGUAUUUUUAUCACAGCAACAGAAAAGAAAACAGAACAAGAUUCUGAGUUCUGGUCUACGUUAUAGGUAGUCCUUAACCAAGUGACUGAUAAUGUACAGUAAGUGGCUUGCCUCCUGGAGCCUACCCUUCUCUCAACAUUGUUGUAAUAAGGAAUAAUUUGACAGGGAAACUAAGAGACAAUGAUCAAUAAUACGACUGAUUUUCAAGAAAUCCAAUCUAUCAUUCAUAUUUUAACUUAACCGUAAAAGUCUUCCCUUCCCUUUUCAGGGGUUCAUGAGCUCCCAACCCCAAACUGAGGAACUAUUAACAGUUGGUGAUUUUUGAGGGAAAAGUGAGUCAGUUUUCUUUAAAUGUCUGGCCCUGGGUAGGUUGACCAGGCUCCAGUGAAUGUCCCCAGUCAAUGAAUGACUGGAGAAUACAAAUUGGACUUGCUAGAGUAUUU
RNAcentral lists this long non-coding RNA (2567 nucleotides) under Mus musculus (house mouse). Its description in RNAcentral is "long non-coding RNA chr2:11227296-11229863". The record is from RNAcentral. Lineage: Eukaryota; Metazoa; Chordata; Mammalia; Rodentia; Muridae.